UACAGAGGUCUCAAGCGUUGUUCGGAUUCAUUGGGCGUAAAGGGUGCGUAGGUGGCGCUGUAAGUCGGGUGUGAAAUUUCGGAGCUUAACUCCGAAACUGCAUUCGAUACUGCCGUGCUUGAGGACUGGAGAGGAGACUGGAAUUUACGGUGUAGCAGUGAAAUGCGUAGAGAUCGUAAGGAAGACCAGUGGCGAAGGCGGGUCUCUGGACAGUUCCUGACACUGAGGCACGAAGGCCAGGGGAGCAAACGGG
This 253-nucleotide ribosomal RNA is filed under the name uncultured bacterium. Its description in RNAcentral is "partial 16S ribosomal RNA". It matches the Rfam family "Bacterial small subunit ribosomal RNA", at positions 524 to 776 of the family's 1533-position model. The record is from RNAcentral.